Molecule: long non-coding RNA, 515 nt
Organism: Ictalurus punctatus (channel catfish)
Lineage: Eukaryota; Metazoa; Chordata; Actinopteri; Siluriformes; Ictaluridae
Exons: 3
Source: RefSeq, a predicted model, not a curated record
UCAGUUAUCAUCUGUUUCUAUUAAAAAAAUUUGUAUUAAAUGUUGCCUAGGAAACGGCGCUGUCAAUCAUGCACGUUUUGAUCAGACUGUAUAAUGGAGGCUCCUGAGGCUUUCCAUAUUACUCGGAACUUUCUAAAUGGAAAUAAACACAUUUUAUGCAGCCUCCCGGCCUCGCGAAGCAGAGCGGGAGUCGGGGAAAAGUUGCAUCUGAAGUGAAGCACGCCGGUGUCAUGGUGAUGAGACGAUGGCACUGAGAAAUGACACGGCUCAUGCCAGACUCUCGCUCGGGCCAAAAACACAGAGAUGGAGGGGGAGAGAGAGAGAAAGAGAGAGAGAAUCAGCAGGAAGACAGGCAGAGAGGAGUGAGGGAGCGAGGGAUGCAAGGACGAGUGUACUGCACACUAAAUCAAACUGAGGAAGCGAGUGAGCCAAAGAAUGACCGGGGCGUUUUUAGAUAUUCCUCGGCUUUGGACACGAGUAUGGCUUUAUCGCAGGUCAGCACCGAGCUGUGGGAG